Molecule: long non-coding RNA, 11609 nt
Filed under: Lathyrus oleraceus (garden pea)
Lineage: Eukaryota; Viridiplantae; Streptophyta; Magnoliopsida; Fabales; Fabaceae
Description: Pisum sativum (pea) long non-coding RNA (PSAT_LNC003813)
Source: RNAcentral
GGUAAGACACAUGGCGGCGCAUCUCUUAACUCAUCCUUGACUACAUUCAUCCAUAAAACUCUUUCUCCACACACACACAUACUUCCCCUCUUUCUCAGUAAAAAAUGCAAAAGGAAAAAAGUGGGAAAACUCACUUUAUGAGAGCGAGAGAACACGCAGGGGAGGGAGUUUUUCUUCUUCACUUUUCAUCACCACAUACUCCUUUCAACUACACCACAAAACAACCACAACAUAUCCUUCAUACAAUCUCCUCCAUAACUUUCUUUAAUCACUUUCACUCUUCCAAAAAACCAUCCACACCAUUGAAACCAUGCCUAAACUACACGACAACUCCGACAUCACACCUUCAACAACUUGUUUCUGUUUCCGAUCGUCGUUCGCCGUAUAAAUGUUUGUUACGUUUUUCUUCUUGACUUAUCUCGCGUUACUGUUUUUGCAUUUUUUACUACUUAUUUUUAUUUUCAGUUUGUUGUAUUUGACAAUGAGAGUAUGUAGAUGUCUUGAUCAUUAUUUGUUUUGAUAUAUAGUUUUUUUAUCAUGCACAUAUAUGUUUUAUGGAUAUAAACAUAUAUGUUUUGAUUAUAUAUAUAUAUAUAUAUAUAUAUAUAAUAUAUAUAUAUAAUAUAUAUAUAUAUAUAAUAUAUAUAUAUAUAUAUAAUAUAUAAUAUAUAUUAUAUAUAUAAAAUAUAAUAUAUCUAUAUAUAUAUAUAUAUAUAUAUAUAUAUAUAUAUAUAUAUAUAUUAUAUAUAUUAUUUGGGUCUUUGGAGUUUUUUUUGGCAUUAUAAGUAUGUAUAUAUAUUUCUCCUUUUGUAUCAAUUUCCCAUAAUAUAUUAUACUUUCAGAUUUCAAGUUUGUAUAUACAUAUACAUUGUGGUUUAAAAUUUAUUUCAAUUUUUACUUGAUGGUUUUUAGUUUUAUAUAUAUAUAUAUACUGCAUUUCUUUUUCUAGUUAUAUAUUAUACUUUUGUUUUAAUUUUACCGUUGUUUCAAAUUAUAUAUAAUAUAUAUAUAUAUUAUUAUAUAUAUAUAUAUAUAUAUAUAUAUAUAUAUAUAUAUAUAUAUAUAUAUAUAUAUAUAUAUAUAUAAUAUAUAUAUAUUAUGUUGUGUUGAUUUUGUUUUUAUUAUAUAUUUAUAAAUUUUUAAUACUUUUAUAUUUUAUUUAUAUUUAAUUUUAUUUUAUAUACAGUUUUUUUUAAGAAAAAAUAAUAUAUACCGGUUAGUUAUUUUUAGUUAGUUUUAUAAUAUGUAUAUAUUUUCAGAUUUUUAAGUUUAUAUAUUAUUGUUGUCGAUUUGAAUUAUUUACAUAUACUUUCUGUUUUUUUUUUCUUUUUGUUUUAUAUAUAUAUAUAUAUAUAUAUAUAUAUAUAUAUAUAUAUAUAUAUAUAUAUAUAUAAAUAUAUAUAUAUAUAUUAUAUAUAAUAUAUAUAUAUAUAUUAUAUAUAUAUAUAUAUUAUAUAUAUAUAUAUAUAUAUAUAUAUAUAUAUAUAUAUAUUAUAUAUAUAUAUAUAUACAUUUUUGGUUCUUUGGUUAUAUAUAUAGUAUGAUAUUAUUGUAACGCUUCUUUAAUAAUAUUUGGUAGUUGCAUUGACUUUAUUGUGUUGCGAUCUCGAAGUUAAAAUUCAAUUUAACCUUCGAAAAUCGUUAGGAUACAUAUAUUUGGUUGCUCGGCUUCUUAUAAAGUGAUUCCUACAUAAAUCCAUUUUAAGUUAGCUUAGAGCUAAAUUCAGUUGCUUUCAAAUUCGGUUGGUUUCCGGUCCCGUUGCUUACUCUUGGGCCUUCUUACAAUGAGUUCUUGAUAAAUAUCAAGUUAUUUUUCAAAAUCUCACCAACUCAAAUUAUUUUCAAAAACCAUUCUCUUAAAUAAAAUAUGAAGAAAAAGAUCACCCUGGAUGGAAUAUCCAGUCGUAAUCUCGAAUAUUAGGCUCAAGUUGUAAGAGCUUGUAAGCCUUAUGUAUUCGUCUUCUCUUCAAAACACUUGUAAUUAUUCAAGACAUUUCCCUAAGUGAAUCCGAAGAAAAAGAUUACCUGGAUGAAAUAUUCAGUCGUAAUCCCGACUAUUAGGCACAAGUUGUAAGAGCUUGCAAGCCAUAAGUAUUCGUCUUCUCUUCAAAAUUCUUGUAAAUAUUCAAAUUUCUUUUCUCAAUAAAAUCGGAAGAAAAAGAUUACCUGGAUGAAAUAUCCAGUCGUAAUCCCGAAUAUUAGGCCCAAGUUGUAAGAGCUUGUAAGUCUUAAGUUUGUCUUCUCUUCUAAAACACUUGUAAAUAUUCAAAUCAUUUUCAUAAUUAAAAUUGGAAGAAAAAGAUUGCCUGGGUGAAAGGUCAAAAUGUAGUCCCGAGUAUUAGACCCAAGUUGUAAGAGCUUGCAAGUCAUAAAUACUCGUCUUUCAAACCCAAAAAUACUUUCAACCAAUCAAACUUUUUUUCGCCGUCGUGCGAUCCAUCAGGAAAACCUUUUCAUAAACGAAAGAAAUCUUGUCUUAAGGUGAUUUAAAGCAAUGCUUCGUCCAUAAUUGUUGAGUUGAGAUAAGUGACGUCUUUCCGAAUGUUGAUUUCUAAAUCCAUUCGAUGUGUGGUUUACAUCCGCUCCUCAUCUGUUUUGGGUAAAACAAUGUUUUUCAUCGAUUAAUACAAUAUAGCUUUCGCUAAAUUCGACCAACACAUAAACAUUUUCUAUCUAGAACUACGUAAGCCUUGAGUUCUCUAUUGAGGUACGUAGGAGCAGGAUUGCAAAAUCUUGUCAGGCCCAUUAAUAAAAAACUUAGGUUUAGUCCCCUUUGUUGCAAAAAUCCAAAAACAUCUUCUCUUUUCUUUUGAUCCUAUUAUUCUUUCCCUCAUAAUAACUUGAGAAUCCUAACACUUCAAGCUAACACUAACGCGCAUAAUUAACCUAAUGGUUCCCGUUGAGUACAACGGACGUGAGUGGUGCUAAUACCUUCCACUUGCGUAAUCGACUCCCGAACCCUGAUAUUGGUUGCGACGACCAUAAUCAUUGUCGUUCUUUCUUGGGUUUUAUCGAUAUUUCCUAUUUCCUUUUUAGGAAUAAAUAAAGUUCGGUGGCGACUCUGUUCAGUCCAUCAUGCGAGUGUGCGAUUGCGCUUCGCUAAGUCGUGCUCUCAUUUUUCGAGGUGCGACAGAUGGCGACUCUGCUGGGGACAAUGUUGUUUCCCUAAGUGAGUCAAGCCUAGUUAGGUCGUUUGUGUGACUUUGUUUGUUUACUUGUGUGGCUUUUCUUUAUUGUUUUUGCUAUCUUUGUUGUCAUAUUGAUAAAAUCUGUUGUAUUGGUUCCACUAUGCUUUGGUACUUGGAUACUCUGAUUGCAAACCUUGUGGGAAAAACUUUUUACCCGAGCCUCGAGUAAAAACAUAAGAUAGGACGAGGUUGAGUAGUGCGGGUCUGCGAGAUGAAUUUCUCGUUGGGUCAGUACGAGAACCUCACUUAGAGUAGAUCCUUUGGAGGAUGUUGUUGCUCGGCAAGUAAGUUGCCAUAAGCUUCGAUAUUUUCAUAAGGAUCCAUGACUCUAAGGACCAUUUGUAGAACCUUAAUCAUGUGUCCAACUAGGAAAGAUGGUUGCGUAGUAUGGGUCUACGAGAUGAAUUUCUCGUUGGAUCGAUGCGAGAACCUCACUUAGAGUAGAUUCUUUGGAUGGAGUUGAUGCCCGACAAGUAAGUUGCCAUAGGCAGCAAACAGUCUAAUGGAUCCAUGACUCUAGGAAAGAUCGAUGCGAGAACCUCACUUAGAGUAGAUUCUUUGGAUGGAGUUGAUGCCCGACAAGUAAGUUGCCAUAGGCAGCAAACAGUCUAAUGGAUCCAUGACUCUAGGAACUUUUUUGAAACCCUAGAUUACCCGGUGAGAACCUAUUCUUGGAAAACAAUCAGAUUCAUCAGUACCUCAAACUUUUGAACCCGUGUAUUGAAAAAAAAAACAAAUAUGCAUGGCUUACAUUGCAUUCAUUUACAUUCCAUUGCAUCUGCAUCUCAUCAUAAUGCAUGUCAUUUUCCAGACAAAAUACAAAAAAAACUCAUCCAUCCUUUGUCCAUAAUCUGCAAAGUGAUUCCUGACACGCGUCUAGAACAAAGAACCAUGUCUCAAGAGAUGAUGGACGAGCUAAGGAAAAGUCAAGAAGCAUUGAAGGAGGAACUCAAUAUUUUGAAGAGCCAAAUGGGAUGGGUCGUGGAAACCCUGUAAGCCUUAUUGAGAAAAGAGGAUCAUCACAUACUUAUUGUUGCAACAGAGGGAGCUACGGCUCCACAUCCAUCAGGUGUUACCCUGAGUCAAAGGCAAAUCUAUAUGGCAACUCCUCAUCUACCGGCAUAUGGCCCUCCUUCAGGAUGUCAUCAUCAACAUCCUCUGGAUAUUCCUCCUCAAAAUCACUAAAGUCAGGUUCGGAACAAAAAUCAGAAUUAGAACAAGGGGAACAAAAAUCACAACGACCCGAUUUCGGUGCCAUAUAGCAAGCUCUAUCCACAGGUGAUCCAGAAUACUUUGGUGACCCCUCAAGCUCUCACACCUACGUCACCAUACCUACCAUGGUACAACCCAAAUGUAACAUGUGAAUUCCAUAAAGGGGCAGUGGGACAUGACCUAGAUUCUUGCUUAACGCUGAAAGCCUUUGUACGAGAGCUGAUUAACAAAAAGAGCUUAGUCUUUGAAGAAGAUCACCCUAAGGUCAAGUGCAGAUACCAUACUGGAACAAUGGGGCACUCCAUCGAGGAAUGCAAGAGUUUUAAGUUCAAUCUGCAAAGAUUGAUUGACAUUAGGUCACCAACACUCAAGGAGGAAAGCUCAGGUACAUACAUCUUGAUUUCUGGGCCAAGUAGCGAGAAAGGCAAAGGACCUCAGAAACCCCUCAAGGUUUUGUACCACAAGGAAGAAGGCAGGGAGGUGGCUAACGAGAUAUCAUCAUUUCCUGAUAAGAGAAUUGAGAUAUCACCUUGGAUUUAUAAUGUCACGACCCAUGCCAACAGAAGCAAAGGAGAAAUGAGUAGUGGAUCCAAGAGGGUUGCGUCCAACGAUGAGAUUAAAUGAAAAGAAUUUGAAGAUCUUCGUGCCAAUGUCAAAAAGCUUCUUGAUCCCAACCUUCACGUGGAUGAAAAUGAGCAGUUAACAAUGCCCAAAGUGCCAUACCAGUAACCACUACCUUUUGGUCUUCAUUACCAACAAUCCUGGUUUGCUUCUCAUCCAAAUUAAAAAGCCCAAGACCCGAGAUAUCAAAAUCAGCAUAGGCCUCAAAAUAACUUGGAAAGAAGAAAUGAUCCUCGUCAUCCAAUCCUCAUGACAUAUAACCAACUUCUACAACCUCUGAUUUAAAACUCGUUGGUGGUUCCCAAGUCUCUUAAGCCGGUUCCACAACCUUACCCACCCGGGUAUGACCCAAAUGUGAAAUGUGGAUAUCAUGCCGGAUCAGAAGGGCACUCAACUGAAGACUGCGACGCUUUCAAAGCCAAAGUACAACAGCUGAUUGAUAACAAGUACAUAGCCUUUCAAGAAGGAAGCUUGGUAGUGAACGUUAACCCAUCACCCAGAUAAGUGGGAAGACCUCAAGGGGUGUCCCCCGAAGUUAAUGGAUCAAGUUUGAAGAAGUCAUUUCCCUAAAGCUGACAAUCAUUUGGUUGUUUCAGCAUUUCUUUUGUAAUUUCCUUGCAUGUUGAUUGCUAGUUGCUUUUAAGCAUUGUUGUUUUCUUUUAAUUGUAAGAUUAAUGAAAUGUUUAUGCAUCUUUUGAAUUAAUCCAUUCAUAUUCACUCAUUUUUCAUUUAUGUUAAAAACAAAAAAUAUUUCUCUCAUUCACUUCAGUUUAUCAAACCACCGUGUUAACAAAGAUUGGGAGGAGGAGGAUGAAAACGAAACACCUAAAAUUAUUGUGGUAUGCUUUUGAAGAAAACCUUGUCGAUGAUGUAAGGCAUUGUUUCAAAUCUCCAAAAACUGAAGACAUAAGGAGUUAAUCCAUAGUCAACCACUUUGAGCCUAGAAGUUGGUGUUUCUUUCGGAUCUAAAAACCCUUAAUCUUAACCCGGGGCAGGGUAGUUGUGUUCAAAUAGUUUGACCAUGCAUUCGAUCUUUCAAAAGAAUCCGUCCAUCUGUACACCCUCCAAAUAGGUUCAACCACAUGCUAUCCUUCGCACACAUGUUAAAGUGUAGAAGAAGCUAAGAAAAGAUAAAAUUAGUGUUGGUUGAUUCUCAUCCACCAAUAAUGUGGCAGUCAACACCUUUCUAAAAAAGAGAAAAAAGCCCGCUAAGUCAAAUACCACAAAAUGACUUAGGCAAAAGUUAGGGCAUCCCAAUGGACCGAAAGCUUCAAAGAAGCAGUCGAGGAAAAAUUAAGGAUAAAGAAAAACAAAAAAAGAGGUCCUCAAAUCCUCAACAAAACCAAGCAAAAUAAGGUGACUGCCAUUUUAAGAAAAUUCAUCUUGAAUCCUCAUCACACCUUUGAACCCUCUUGGAAGUCGAAUGCGUGUAUCGAAUUAACUGAAUAUAGGAAUUGGAGAUCAUCAAGAAGAAGGGGUGGGUUAAAAUUAAAUUUGAGCCUUAUAUCCUUUUGUUUAAAAAAAACGUGAACCAUGCCAAAUUACAACCCUUAAAAGACCUAAUUGAGGCAUGGUUUAUUCUGAAAGCAUACUACAACAAGGUUGUGUUAACAUGACUCCAAACGAUUUUUGUUAAUAAUUUGAUCACACCAAUAUGUGUACUGUGAAUGACUAGAUCAUCAUUAUGUUCUUAUCAGUAAUUUGUUCACUGUAUUUCACCCGUUCAUAUCAAUAAAUUUUGAUUUCAAACUUUUGCAUAAGCACCACAUGAAAAUUACCAUUUUCGAAUGAACGGUCUUAUUUGCGAGUCAACACUUAGCAUUAAAGAAAUUCCAACAAUAUACAAUUGAGGAACUUGAUAAAGUGAAAGAAGUCCAAUCAGGGGCAAAUCACUUUGAGAGUCAGUUGAUCCGAGCCAAUCACCCCAAGGUUCAGUUAGCCAAGAGUAAUUUGCUUUAAGACUCAGACUAGGGCAAGCCACCUCAAAAGCUCAUUGAGUCCAACUAGACAAGGAUAGUCAAUCAGAAGUCUACCAUUCCAGGUUUUGGUUAAUCAGGGUGAGAUCAUUGCGGUAUUCAAACAUUGGGGCAAUCCAUCUCGAGAUCGUCUCAUGUCAAGCUGUUUCAAACUCACUUUCAUGGUGAACAUUUUCAAAGAUCCAGCAGACUGGGGCAAGAUGAGCCACAGAGGGGCACAUCCCCUUCAUGCUUUCAAACUACUCAAACAAAUUCUUCCAUGUGUCAACAACUAUUGAGUUCGAGACGAGUGUCCGAAAAUCAUGCUAGUAUAGUUCAUUAGUCCUUAUAAAGGAUCCCAUUGGCAAAGUUUGUGGCUGUCAAGAUUGAUAGAAUUCUCCUUUGACAAUAUCUAUCACAUAUAUUUGGUUGAGUUCUUGGUGUUGAGGAAUCAUGAUAUCCAUAAAAAUCCUCUACAACUCCCAGUCCACUCAAGUGUCAGCAUUCUCAUAAUCAUGAUCAUUCAUAUAUCAUGCAAAUUCAAAUCAUGCAUAGCCGAAAUGUACUUCGUGUUCAUUUUGCAUUGACCCAUGUCUUGUUGUUGAUCCUAUAUCCUCUGACCUCUAAUUCCAGCUUGUCUUUGGUGCCCUUAAUCCAUCAUCCAGUUUUCGCAGUCAUCUUCCAGUCCAACUCAGUUGGAAAUUUUGUCCAUGAGGUUCAAUUCCUUUUGGGAUUAUCCGAUGAAUUUCUGGAUUACUCCUUUGUUUAUUGAUGUAUUUCUAUAACUUGUCUAAUGUAUUUCUAGAUGUUCCCUACCUAUCUGAUGUAUUCUCGGAUGUGUCUGUAUUCUGAUGUAUUUCCAGAAUUUCCUCAAUGUAUUACCGAAUGUGUCUGUAUUCUGAUGCAUUUCCAGAAUUUGUUUCUUUUACUCUCCUAUGAAUUCUCGGACAUGUCAUUUUUGUUCUGACGCACUUCUAGAACCCCUAUGACAUUCCCUAGAAUUACUUUUAGACGCAUUGGUGUCUCCAAAAAUUUAGUUGUCACUAGGCAUUAUUCCAAGUUUAGUUGUUACUAGAACUCGUUUUAAACCCAAUUGUCAUUGGCAUCACCGUCACUCCGUUUGUAAAUAUAAUCGUAAUUGGUAUCUGAAGUUUGGUUGUCACCAACAUCAUUUCAAGUCCAGUUGUUGCUGGCAAACUCCAUUGUAGUCAGUAAUUGCUUUACUAUUGCCUUCGGCAAAGUCCAAUUGUUGUUGGCAAAAUCCGUUAAAGGUUAGUUGUAAUCCAUUGCUUACAGUCAAAGUCCGAUUGUUGUUGGCAAAAUCCAUUAAAAGUUGGUUGUAAUCCAUUGCUUACGGUCAAAGUCCAAUUGUUGUUGGCAAAAUCUGUUAAAAGCUGGUUGUAAUCCAUUUCUUACGGUCAAAGUCCAAUUUUUGUUGGCAAAAUCCGUUAAAAGCUGGUUGUAAUCCAUUGCUUACGGUCAAAGUCCAAUUGUUGUUGGCAUCAAUCCGUUAAAAGCUGGUUAUAAUCCUUUUGCUUACGGUCAAAGUCCAAUUGUUGUUGGCACCUAUCCGUUAAAAGUUGGUUGUAAUCCAUUGCUUACGGUGAAAGUCUAAUUGUUAUUGGCGCCUAUCCGUUAAAAGCUGGUUGUAAUUUGUUGCUUAUGGUCAAAGUCCAAUUGUUGUUGGCACCUAUUCGUUAAAAGCUGGUUGUAAUCCAUUCUUUACGGUCAAAGUCCAAUUGUUGUUGGCACGUACAGAGAGUUUGAUUACCCUGUAUUUCCUGAUGGUUCCGUGAAAGUCAUGUAUGACUCAUCAUCUUGAGGAAUUCCCAGAAGCUUGGAGAUUUUUCGUGUUAGAAAACUCCAAUGAUGUUGGUUUUGUUUGAUUUCUUUGUAAAGAAUCAAUUCCUGAUGGUUCCGUGAAAGUCAUGUAUGACUCAUCAUCUUGAGGAAUUCCCAGAAGCUUGGAGAUUUUUCGUGUUAGAAAACUCCAAUGAUGUUGGUUUUGUUUGAUUUCUUUGUAAAGAAUCAUUGUAGCCUUUUGUGUGGAUGAUCUACUUUUAAGAAGACACCCGCUUAUCUUUGUUUUGCAUAAGUUCCCUGUUAGAAAUCUCCAGAACUUUCAGAUGUAUUCUAAAGUGUCAGGUCAUGUAUGAACUUGUUGAUGAAACUUGAUUUGUUUGUUUUCCAAUAGUGUCAGGUCAUGUAUGAACCUGUUGUUGAAGUUUUCUUUGGGUUUUCUAGUGUUGUCAGGUCAUGUAUGAAUCUGUUGUUAAAAUCUCUGUGAAACCUCCAUAAUUGUCAAGUCAUGCAUGAACCUAUGGAUAUACUUUCUUUGAAUUUUCCAGUGUCGUCGGGUCAUGUAUGAACAUGUUGAUAAAACUCCCUUUGAUUUUUCCAAGUAUUGUUAGGUCAUGUAUGAACCUAUGGAUGAAACUUACCUUGAUUAUCCUAAUGUUGAGGUCAUGUAUGAACCUAUUGAUUUAACUUUCCUUGAUUUUCUAGCAUUAUUAGGUCAUGUAUGAACCUAUUGUUGAAACACUUUGAAUUUUCCAAUGUUGUCAGGUCAUGUAUUAGCCUGUUGAUAAAGCUUUCUUUGUAUUUUUUCGGUAUUGUCAGGUCAUGUUUGAACCUGUUGAUGGAUAUUUUUAAUAUACCCCAGCAUUGUCAGGUCAUGUUUGAACCUGUUGAUGGAUAUUUUUAAUAUACCCCAGCAUUGUCAAGUCAUGUUUGAACCUAUUAUUGAAACUCUUUUAAUGUUCCAAUGGUCAGGACGUGUAUGAACUUAUUGAUGGAAUUAUUUGAUUUUUCAUGUGUUAUCAGGUCAUGUAUGAAUCUAUUGACUAAACUUUCCUUGAUAUUCAAGCUAUAAUCAGGUCAUGUAUGAAUCUAUUGACUAAACUUUCCUUGAUAUUCAAGCUAUAAUCAGGUCAUGUUUGAACCUGUUAUUCAAACCUUCUUUGUAUGUUCCCUAAUACUGUCAGGUCAUGUUUGAACUUGUUAAUUGAGCGUUCUUUCAAUAUUCAAGUGUUGUCAAGUCAUGUUUGAACAUGUUGUUGACAUUUUUUUAAUAUUCUAGUGUUGUAGGUCAUGUAUUAACAUGUUAUUAAAAUCUUUUUGCAUAUUCCCCAGUUGUCUUUCCUCUAGUAGGAUUGUUAUCCCCUGUGAAUUUCUACCCUCAUUUUUUAUUUUUUGUGGGCCACCUUUAUCAUAUGUCUACAUCAUUCUCCACAGAUCUUUGUUUCAUUUUACAUCCAUCAUAAAGCAUCUUGCUAGGGUUUAUCUUAUGUCUCAACAUAUCCCUAGCAGAUCGAAAAAAAGAGUCAUUCAUACAUUCAUAACAUGUCAUAUCAUAUCAUUUGCAUUUCAGGAUCAAAAUUCGGGUCUUCUUAGUAUUUAACUAUCUUCCACUAUGAUCAUAUGAAGAGUGUCCUGCUUCAUAUUCUCUAGUUGAAGAUACUUAAAUAGGGGCAACUGUCACACCCAAAUUUUGACUUUGAAUCACCAAUUUAACAGAUUUAUCAUAGUCAUUGCAUCUUUGCGUAUCAUAACAUCCAUUCAAUAUCGCAUAGUGCCUAAAAUAUUAGUCAAAAUAAAUUUUUAGAUCUACAGGCAAACCGGUUGAAUCAAUUGUCAAAUGUGUGCCAAAACAUUGGACGAAAAAUUUCAAAAUCAAGCUUGCAAACAUCAGUUUUAUUAAUCUAUGUUUCACGUAGUUCAACCUGGUGUGCUCGAUUUAUUUUUCUGACACAUUUUGAUCCGUCUGAGUGUUUUAACCUGGCGUUUUUCAUUUCAAAACUUGACAAAAAGUUGUGUGUUUUCGAGAAGUUUACUUUACACUGAUCAUUUUGAUGCAUUCAAUUUAAUUUUUCUAGCACUUUUGUGCCCGAUUUUUAUUCAUUUUGAGUCAUUUUAAUUUUAUUUUAUUUGUCAAAAUGUUCGAAAUAAAUAAAUAGAAUUUUCUAUGUUUUUAUUUCGAAUGAAUUUUAAUUAUUUAAACUAAUGUAAUUUUAUUUGAUUCAAUUUAUUUUUAACUAGUUUUAACACUAUUAACACUCAUUAAGGGUAUUGUGGAUAUUUGAUUUUAAAAGAAAACCCUACUAGAUUGGUAUAAGUACCAACUUGUUUACAAUGAGGGAGGAGACCACCAACGGUAAGACACAUGGCGGCGCAUCUCUUAACUCAUCCUUGACUACAUUCAUCCAUAAAACUCUUUCUCCACACACACACAUACUUCCCCUCUUUCUCAGUAAAAGAUGCAAAAGGAAAAAAGUGGGAAAACUCACUUUAUGAGAGCGACAGAACACGCAGGGGAGGGAGUUUUUCUUCUUCACUUUUCAUCACCACAUACUCCUUUCAACUACACCACAAAACAACCACAACAUAUCCUUCAUACAAUCUCCUCCAUAACUUUCUUUAAUCACUUUCACUCUUCCAAAAAACCAUCCACACCAUUGAAACCAUGCAUAAACUACACGACAACUCCGACACCACACCUUCAACAACUUGUUUCUGUUUCCGAUCGUCGUUUGCUGUAUAAAUGUUUGUUACGUUUUUCUUCUUGACUUAUCCCGCGUUAUUGUUUUUACAUUUUUUACUACUUAUUUUUAUUUUCAGUUUGUUGUAUUUGACA